CAAAAGGACAUUACACCAGACACUUGGGUUCCUGGGAGUGCAUUAAGUCUCCAUCUCACCCCUUCCUUUAGGCUCCUGCAUUGUCCAGAGAUAGGAGGGAGUGACAAAUGCUACUGUGUCCAUGUUGUUAUCGUCCUCAUCCCACGAGCGGAAAGCUGAACAUUCACAAACGUCAUUUGUAAGGUAUCAGAAUCAGAGAGAGAGAUGUCCCUGAAAAUUACGAAGACUAGAAGGGAAAGCCAUCAAAUGUGUUGACCGUUGAUCUCUGGAAUUUGCAAAGAUGGACUCAUUAUACUCCAGUCUCUCCAAUCAGACCACAGAGGAUCCAGACAACUGGAUGGCCAGAGGUGAACAAAAUGUCCAAGAAGCAUGUCUAACCAGAAGAUGUCUCCACCUUGAAGAACGGCUCAGGUCCAGCCCUCGAUUUGGACUUCAAUUUGGACUCGAAGUUAACACAAACAAGCAAGCAUUCUUGUUCACGUUUCCAGCACCGCAAAAUUCGACUUCUUCUCAAGGAAAGGUGGCCAUGAGAGAAAAGCCCUUUAGAGGUUUAGUCCCAACAGACUAAAAGAAAAUGCACGUGCUAACAGAAUAAAGGAGAAAGUACCACA
Molecule: long non-coding RNA, 611 nt
Organism: Peromyscus californicus insignis
Lineage: Eukaryota; Metazoa; Chordata; Mammalia; Rodentia; Cricetidae
Exons: 2
Source: RefSeq, a predicted model, not a curated record